This 200-nucleotide unclassified non-coding RNA is filed under the name soil metagenome. RNAcentral's name for it is "partial contains internal transcribed spacer 2 and large subunit ribosomal RNA". The record is from RNAcentral.
CCUGUUCGAGCGUCAUUACAACCCUCAAGCUCUGCUUGGUCGUGGGCUCCGCCGACUGGCGGGCCUUAAAACUAGUGGCGGUGCGUCGAGGCCCUGAGCGCAGUAAACAUCCUCGCUAUAGGGACCCGAUGGACGCUAGCCAUCAACCCCCACUUUCUAAGUUUGACCUCGGAUCAGGUAGGGAUACCCGCUGAACUUAA